UCAUAAAGUCUUCAAAAAAAGAAUAGAUCGAUUGCAUUCCAUGUAGUAACAUAUGCGAUCAUACCAGCACUAAUGCAUUGGAUCCCAUCAGAACUCCGCAGUUAAGCGUGCUUGGGCGAGAGUAGUACGAGGAUGGGUGACCUCGAGGAAUGUCCUCUUGUUGCAUCCCUC
RNAcentral lists this ribosomal RNA (171 nucleotides) under Arabidopsis thaliana (thale cress). Lineage: Eukaryota; Viridiplantae; Streptophyta; Magnoliopsida; Brassicales; Brassicaceae. The record is from RNAcentral.